This 1047-nucleotide ribosomal RNA is filed under the name uncultured eukaryote. RNAcentral's name for it is "SSU rRNA". It matches the Rfam family "Eukaryotic small subunit ribosomal RNA", at positions 41 to 1093 of the family's 1831-position model. The record is from RNAcentral.
AGAUUAGCCAUGCAUGUCUAAGUAUAAGCACUUGUACUGUGAAACUGCGAAUGGCUCAUUAAAUCAGUUAUCGUUUAUUUGAUUGUACCUUACUACAUGGAUACCUGUGGUAAUUCUAGAGCUAAUACAUGCGAAAAGUCCCAACUUCUGGAAGGGAUGUAUUUAUUAGAUUAAAAACCAAUGCAAGUCUUCGGGCUCGUUUUCUUGGUGAUUCAUGAUAACUUUUCGAAUCGCAUGGCCUAGAGCCGGCGAUACUUCAUUCAAAUUUCUGCCCUAUCAACUGUCGAUGGUAAGGUAGUGGCUUACCAUGGUUAUAACGGGUGACGGAGAAUUAGGGUUCGAUUCCGGAGAGGGAGUCUGAGAAACGGCUACCACAUCUAAGGAAGGCAGCAGGCUCGAAAAUUACCCAAUCCCGACUCGGGGAGGUAGUGACAAGAAAUAACGAUACGGGGUCUUAAUAGGUCUCGCAAUUGGAAUGAGUACAAUUUAAAUCCUUUAACGAGGAUCAAUUGGAGGGCAAGUCUGGUGCCAGCAGCCGCGGUAAUUCCAGCUCCAAUAGCGUAUAUUAAAGUUGUUGCAGUUAAAAAGCUCGUAGUUGGAUUUCGGAGUGGGCCAGUUGGUCCGCCGCAAGGUGUGUUACUGACUGGUUUGCUCUUCUUCGCAAAGACUGCGUGUGCUCUUGAGUGAGUGUGCGUAGAAUUUACGACGUUUACUUUGAAAAAAUUAGAGUGUUCAAAGCAGGCUAUUGCUUGAAUACAUGAGCAUGGAAUAAUGGAAUAGGACUUUGGUCCCAUUUUGUUGGUUUCUAGGGCCGAAGUAAUGAUUAAGAGGGACAAUUGGGGGCAUCCGUAUUUCGUUGUCAGAGGUGAAAUUCUUGGAUUUACGAAAGACGAACAACUGCGAAAGCACUUGCCAAGAGUGUUUUCAUUAAUCAAGAACGAAAGUUAGAGGAUCGAAGACGAUCAGAUACCGUCCUAGUUCUAACCAUAAACGAUGUCGACUAGGGAUCAGCGGGCGUUAUCGUACGACCCCGUUGGCACCUUACGG